This 253-nucleotide ribosomal RNA is filed under the name uncultured bacterium. RNAcentral describes it as "partial 16S ribosomal RNA". It matches the Rfam family "Bacterial small subunit ribosomal RNA", at positions 524 to 776 of the family's 1533-position model. The record is from RNAcentral.
UACAGAGGGUGCAAGCGUUAAUCGGAUUUACUGGGCGUAAAGCGCGUGUAGGCGGCUUGGCAAGUCGGAUGUGAAAGCCCACGGCUCAACCGUGGAAGCGCAUCCGAAACGGCCUCGCUCGAGUCUCGGAGAGGAAGGUGGAAUGCUUGGUGUAGAGGUGAAAUUCGUAGAUAUCAAGCAGAACACCUGCGGCGAAGGCGGCCUUCUGGACGAUGACUGACGCUGAGACGCGAAAGCGUGGGGAGCAAACAGG